UGACCAAGACCAACCUGUCGGUGCAUGAGGACAAGAACCGCGUCCCCUAUGUCAAGGGCUGCACCGAGCGCUUUGUGUCCAGCCCCGAAGAGAUCCUGGAUGUCAUCGACGAGGGGAAGUCCAACCGGCACGUGGCUGUCACCAACAUGAACGAGCACAGCUCCCGCAGCCACAGCAUCUUCCUCAUCAACAUCAAGCAGGAGAACGUGGAGACGGAGCAGAAGCUCAGCGGGAAGCUCUACUUGGUCGACCUGGCUGGGAGUGAGAAGGUCAGCAAGACGGGUGCAGAGGGAGCGGUGCUGGACGAGGCCAAGAACAUCAACAAGUCGCUCUCAGCGCUGGGCAACGUCAUCUCGGCGCUGGCAGAGGGCAC
Molecule: long non-coding RNA, 373 nt
Organism: Numida meleagris (helmeted guineafowl)
Lineage: Eukaryota; Metazoa; Chordata; Aves; Galliformes; Numididae
Exons: 4
Source: RefSeq, a predicted model, not a curated record